This 678-nucleotide unclassified non-coding RNA is filed under the name Hevea brasiliensis (rubber tree). The record is from RNAcentral. Lineage: Eukaryota; Viridiplantae; Streptophyta; Magnoliopsida; Malpighiales; Euphorbiaceae.
AGCCAGUGAAAUGGAAGAACUUUUCCCAUGUUAGUACUGCACCAAUUGAGUGUCCUGAAACGUUUAUAGGUGAUGAUCACUCUGGUGUGUACAUAGUAACGGGAGCACAGCUUGGUGUCUGGGAGUUUGGGUCAAGAAAUGUGUUGUAUAUGAAGCUUCUGUAUUCAAGGCUACCAGGAUGCACAAUACGAAGAUCACUAUGGGACCAUACCCCGAAUGAUAAGUCGAACAAAAAGAUCAAUUGUGAGAAUAGCAAUGGCGAUGCUAGUUCUGUUACAGGGGAGAAUAUUGUAGGCAAUAAGUUGGCUAAGUUUGUUGACAUGACCGAGAUGAGUAAGGGGCCUCAAGAUCCUCCUGGCCACUGGUUAGUAACAGGUGGAAAACUUGGUGUCGAAAAGGGGAGAAUUGUUUUGAGAUUGAAGUAUUCCUUGUUAAAUUAUUAGUUGAUACUGCUUCUGAACAUGCUGCAUUUGGUUCUAUAAGAAAGUAAUGAUGGCGUGUUGGUGUAUAUGGUUCGGGUUUUCUUCUUCUUGUGCAUGUUUACCAUCAUUGUUUGAUGGUAGAGUUCCCUUCGAAAGAAGAAUGUAUACCUUAGGUAGUUAUGUGUAAAUUUCUUCAAAUUUUGACAAUUGUAUGUUUUCAUCAUAUGUAGUAAUAUGUGGGAAAUGUUACUUCCAG